CAAGCUUUACUAGCCCGACAAGCUUGGAGAUUAAUUUCCAACCUGGAUAGUUUGUGUGCCCAAGUGCUCAAAGCAAGAUAUUAUCCUAAUGGAAGACUAGAAAAUAGAGUUUUUGCGGGUAAUGCAUCGUCCUCAUGGCAAGCUAUAAGCUAUGGUCUAGAAUUACUAAAAAAGGGGCUGGUAUGGAGAGUUGGUAACGGAAAAAGUAUACGGAUCUGGAGAGAUAGUUGGAUUCUGAGGCCGCACUCAUAUAAACCCUUCUCUCCACAAGGUAGAUGCAGGAUCAUAUUUGCCUCAGGUUUAUUGAAUGAAAAUGGCUCUGGGAAUUACGCAUUGCUGAUGAAGUUUUUUGCUAUGGCCGAUGUAGCAGAGAUUAUGAAAAUCAAGGCUUCACCAAGUUCAGAGGAUGUGUUAUCUUGGGCACUUGGAAAGUUUGGUCAGUUUUCUAUCAAAAGUGCAUACGACUUGGCCUUCAAAGAGGCUCAUAGAGAAAGUGUUGUAUCCUCAAGUAGUAUGCCAUCUGGGGCGCGCUCUUGUUGGAGCUUUAUUUGGUCUUGUGAAAUUCCACCGACGGUUCGCAACUUUGGGUGGCGUGUAGCGACUAACUAUCUGCCUACCUGGCAGAGAAAGAAUAGAAUUGGGAUUAAA
This 648-nucleotide ribosomal RNA is filed under the name Triticum aestivum (bread wheat). Its description in RNAcentral is "partial small subunit ribosomal RNA". Lineage: Eukaryota; Viridiplantae; Streptophyta; Magnoliopsida; Poales; Poaceae. The record is from RNAcentral.